This 772-nucleotide long non-coding RNA is filed under the name Homo sapiens (human). Its description in RNAcentral is "HSALNT0082520". Lineage: Eukaryota; Metazoa; Chordata; Mammalia; Primates; Hominidae. The record is from RNAcentral.
CCGGAAGGAAGGCCAUGAUUUCAGCUCUCUGGGAUUUGAGACAAAGAGGCCCCUUUUCUUUCAUUUUAUCUUUUCAUGUCUCUUCUUGCCAUGUACCCACAUGAUUGAGUGUGGGCUGAGGGUGAAUCCAAGAAGGGCUUUGUUUUGUGGUCAGUACAGGCUUUGGUCCACAGAGACAACAAUACUUUCAAUACUCUUUUGUUCUGCCCCAGAGGAGCUCAACACAGAAUUGCCUAGAACAAGAAACUGGUGAGAGAAGCUGCAGCCUGUUGAGACUCCACAAGACUGAAGAUAUGAAAAGAGGAAAUAUGCAUGAAUGCCCGCACGGAGAACCACCCCCACCUGCUGCUCCCGCUCUAAUGAUCACGCCCAUUAUCAACUGGGGGAUGGCUCUGUGCCUUGUCCUUGCAUUACAUGGACCAAGAACACUUCACAGGACUCAGAGAGGAACCCGAAAGGAAGAAGCUAUACGACUGGGGACACAUGUCUUAGAAGCACACUCAUUAGAUAAAGUGUCGCAUACUCUUUGAUAAGAAACUCCAGGCUGUCACCCAUCUGUUCUCUCAUCAAAGUAGUUUUGGGCCAGCAACUAUUUCAGACAUUUCUACAGUUUCAGAUGUCUCACUCUGCCUAUGACUGUAUGUUGUACUUGAGGACUGGACGCACAGGGUAAAGUGCAAAUAGCAAGCAUUCAGGUCCAACUCUCCUCCUUCUGGUUAACAAUAUGAAAGAAAGAGGUAGUAUCGGAAUUAUUUUAGUUCAAUGUAGCCAU